AUAUAUUUAAAUAUUUUUGAAAAAAUAUAACAUUACUAUACAUGAUUUAGGGCAGGGAGCAUGGGUUCACAUGCCCCAUGGAACCCCCUAGAUACGUCUCUGCGAAUAAUACAUUAUUUUUUUUACCAUCCGUUAUCCGAAACCUACUAACCCCACUAAUCAAGAUUCGCACCGAAUAAGGGCAUUAAGGGGAUAAAGCAUCCCUGCCGAAAGAUUCUCUAUUUCUAGAGACUUCAACCUGCAACCUCUGGUUAAAGUUAAAGAGAUCUAAAUCAUAUCCUACCACAACAUCAGCCGUAAAAGAAUUAGAAUUAGACUCCACUCAAGUAGUAUAAUAGACACUUGUGGUCCGGCCCUUACCUAGACGCACAGGUAGCAGCUUAGUGCACCGAAAUGACUUUUUUUUUCUUCUUUUAUUAUGAUUGGGGUUCGUUGAGCGCUGCUGAAGGAAAAAACAACCACUAUAAAUAAUUUUCUCCUUUACCUCACAUAUAUGGUGAAAAUGUUCUUAAAAAAAGUAGCAAAGAAUAAACUGAAAAUAAAGAAAAGCAGAUAGCAUGGAACUCUAUGAUAGAAAAGUCAUGAACAUGAUAUGAAAAGGAAAAAAAAUGUUUCACCACCUCAUAAUUGAGCUUAAAACAUCAAAAAUAUAAAUAAUAUAUGGUUCAAGAAAAAUAUAGGAAUGCAACGUUACCAGUAGAAGAGAAAGAAGAUAAGUAACCAACUUUGAGAACUUGUGCCAAACUUCCACAACUGCAGCUUCCUCUAUGCAAAUGUUUUGUUGGAAUUUCCUAUUAAAAUUAAUAGUGGCAUUUCAAGAUUGUCUGUCUGAUACAAAUUAAAAAGAUGGAUCCUUUAUAAGUUUCAACUAUUUAAGUUCUCUCAGAAAAUACCAAAUGUGGAGAAAAACUCAAAACAAAUCAUUGGUUUUUCCUCUUUCUCCCCAAACAAUGUUAAUCAAAGGCCAGCAAACAGUCCUAAAAGAGGACCUCUUUUUUCCUUUAACAAUAAAGAACAAGGUAAAAAUGAAACAAAAAAAAGAGUAUACUAGGACUAGUAGUGUACUAUAUCAACCCCACAACCACCCUCAAAAACUACAAAGAAAAAAAAAAGAGAGUAAAAAGACAAUGCAAAAAGUAAGAUGUUUUGCUUGCAUGAGGAAGAAAAGCAAGAUUUUUACUCAGAACUCAACACCCAAGAAAAGCUCAGAAAAUUCAGAAUCCCUCAGACCCCAUGAAGAAUCAUGAUCUUAACACACACACACACACAAAAAAAACUGUUUUUUAUAUCAUAAAAAGAGUCUCUUUUUUGGGUUAUUAUCCACAGGUUUGGACCCAAUGGAUAUUC
This 1347-nucleotide long non-coding RNA is filed under the name Nicotiana tabacum (common tobacco). Its description in RNAcentral is "long non-coding RNA (NTAB_LNC002387)". The record is from RNAcentral. Lineage: Eukaryota; Viridiplantae; Streptophyta; Magnoliopsida; Solanales; Solanaceae.